GCCCGGUUAGCAUAAAAGUAAUGCGAUUGUUUUGUAAUCAAAGGACGUAGGCGCGAUACCUUCACUGGGCU
RNAcentral lists this transfer RNA (71 nucleotides) under Spathularia flavida. Its description in RNAcentral is "tRNA-Thr". It matches the Rfam family "tRNA". From Rfam's summary of the family: Transfer RNA (tRNA) molecules are approximately 80 nucleotides in length. Their secondary structure includes four short double-helical elements and three loops (D, anti-codon, and T loops). Lineage: Eukaryota; Fungi; Ascomycota; Leotiomycetes; Rhytismatales; Cudoniaceae. The record is from RNAcentral.